Non-coding RNA from Caenorhabditis elegans, 21 nucleotides. The record is from Ensembl. Lineage: Eukaryota; Metazoa; Nematoda; Chromadorea; Rhabditida; Rhabditidae.
UUAUUGCCACGUAGUUCUCAA